UUUGACUCAGCGCGGGAAAAUCUUACCAGGGUCCGGACACACUGAGGAUUGACAGGAAGUAUCGUCUUUUGAAAUCUUUAAGCACAUGUCGUUUCUAAUGACAUCUUUUAGAUGAAUGAUUCGUGUAAAUAUGCUAGUUCUUUCAUGAUUAUGUGAUAGGUGGUGCAUGGCCGUUCUUAGUUCGUGGAGUGAUCUGUCUGCUUAAUUGCGUUUCACUAUGGCCCCAAAGUUAGCAAGUUAUCCAAUCAUGACCUUCGUCGACCCCUCACCUUUGAGUGCGCGUCCUAGCUUAGAGUACAUGGUGUAAAUGGACUUGUUUUGGGUACCCAGAAAGCAACGAACGUGACCGCAACGUCUUGUUGUCUCUCUUUUGACAGUUAUGGGUUAUCCCAGUCAUGUGUUUAUACUUUUAUGUGUAAAUACGUACGACACA
Molecule: ribosomal RNA, 433 nt
Filed under: Neogloboquadrina incompta
Lineage: Eukaryota; Foraminifera; Rotaliida; Globorotaliidae
Description: partial 18S ribosomal RNA
Rfam family: Eukaryotic small subunit ribosomal RNA
Source: RNAcentral